RNAcentral lists this ribosomal RNA (497 nucleotides) under uncultured bacterium. Its description in RNAcentral is "partial 16S ribosomal RNA". It matches the Rfam family "Bacterial small subunit ribosomal RNA", at positions 28 to 507 of the family's 1533-position model. The record is from RNAcentral.
GAUGAACGCUGGCGGCGUGCCUAAUACAUGCAAGUCGAGCGAACAGAUGAGGAGCUUGCUCCUCUGACGUUAGCGGCGGACGGGUGAGUAACACGUGGAUAACCUACCUAUAAGACUGGGAUAACUUCGGGAAACCGGAGCUAAUACCGGAUAAUAUAUUGAACCGCAUGGUUCAAUAGUGAAAGACGGUUUUGCUGUCACUUAUAGAUGGAUCCGCGCCGCAUUAGCUAGUUGGUAAGGUAACGGCUUACCAAGGCAACGAUGCGUAGCCGACCUGAGAGGGUGAUCGGCCACACUGGAACUGAGACACGGUCCAGACUCCUACGGGAGGCAGCAGUAGGGAAUCUUCCGCAAUGGGCGAAAGCCUGACGGAGCAACGCCGCGUGAGUGCUGAAGGUCUUCGGAUCGUAAAACUCUGUUAUUAGGGAAGACCAAAUGUGUAAGUAACUAUGCACGUCUUGACGGUACCUAAUCAGAAAGCCCCGGCUAACUACGUG